This 392-nucleotide ribosomal RNA is filed under the name uncultured organism. RNAcentral describes it as "bacterial SSU rRNA". It matches the Rfam family "Bacterial small subunit ribosomal RNA", at positions 45 to 433 of the family's 1533-position model. The record is from RNAcentral.
UGGAUUAGGCAUGCAAGUCGAGCGAUCCCGCAAGGGAUAGCGGCAAACGGGUGAGUAACACGUGAGUAAUCUGCCCUAAAGUCUGGGAUAGCUUCGUGAAAACGGAGGUAAUACCGGAUAUGGUCAUGAGUUGGCAUCAACUUAUGAUUAAAGGUGGGGACCGCAAGGCCUACCACUUUGGGAUGAGCUCGCGUCCUAUCAGCUUGUUGGUAGGGUAACGGCCUACCAAGGCUUUUGACGGGUAACUGGUUUGAGAGGAUGGUCAGUCACACUGGGAAUGAGACACUGCCCAGACUCCUACGGGAGGCUGCAGUCGAGAAUAUUUAGCAAUGGGCGAAAGCCUGACUAUGGGACGCCGCGUGAGGGAUGAAGGUUUUCGGAUCGUAAACCUC